Molecule: long non-coding RNA, 635 nt
Filed under: Rattus norvegicus (Norway rat)
Lineage: Eukaryota; Metazoa; Chordata; Mammalia; Rodentia; Muridae
Description: long non-coding RNA NONRATT002627
Source: RNAcentral
GUGACUUUGCCUUUGGAAUCCUCAGAUGCCGCUUUCCAUUACGACAGCGCCACCUGCCGGACGGAGCUGCGAGCCCAUGCAUGGAAGAACUGCCUCUCAAUCACUCUCAAGAGAUCCUUGCAGGAACAGGCUGGAGCCCAGAGACUUUGAUUUCCCCAUCUCACACCCCCACUUCAGGGUUGGUUAGCGGAAAACCGACUACCAAACGGCCGGGAACUGCUGAAUGUAAAUUCUGUGCUCAAGAACUCACCUUGUCCCGUCCUCAGACUAUUUCAGGACGUUUGUUUAUUUUUAUUUCUUUAUGAGGCAAGGUCUUGCUAUGUAGGCAAAGCUGGCCUCUAAGUCAUCAUUCUUCAUCUUCAGCCUCCCAAAAUCUGAGAUUAUAGGCAUACACCGUCACCACACUCCCACAGUUAGGUCCUCUCGGUUUUGCAUGAGAAAGUGGUGCUGGAGAGAUGGCUCAGCAGUUAAGAUCAUUGACUGCUCUUCCCGAAGUCCUGAGUUCAAUUCCCAGCAACCACAUGGUGGCUCACAACCAUCUUUUAUGGGAUCUGAUGCUUCUUCUAGUGUGUCUGAAGACAGUUGCAGUGUACUCAUAUACAUAAAAAUAAAUAAAUCUUUUUUUAAAGUAGCAA